Molecule: long non-coding RNA, 369 nt
Organism: Haplochromis burtoni (Burton's mouthbrooder)
Lineage: Eukaryota; Metazoa; Chordata; Actinopteri; Cichliformes; Cichlidae
Exons: 3
Source: RefSeq, a predicted model, not a curated record
UUGCGCAAUGACCACAGAUUACUCGCCUCCUAUUUAAGUCUCCUUUCCGGCACCGCGGGCUAAAGUUACAAACUGCGCUUCUACUUCAGACAUCUUCACAGCCGAACCCCUCUGAGCUGACAGGAUGAAUUCACGUGUUCUGAAGAUUAAAGAUGGGAAGUUUGUGAAAGUCCAGAAAUUGUACAAUGGACUCAAGCUGUGUGCUGUUGACUCCCAAACAAAUGAUCAUACGGUCUACAUAGAGAAACACCGCUCAUACAACUGGAUAGCUUUUAAAUUCAAUCUGAAGGGUGACAAUAUGGUGAAAGACUAUUUCCUAAAGGGGGACAAACACUCCCUUGAGGUAAAUAGAACAAUGCAUUUUCUCUC